This 256-nucleotide ribosomal RNA is filed under the name uncultured bacterium. Its description in RNAcentral is "partial 16S ribosomal RNA". It matches the Rfam family "Bacterial small subunit ribosomal RNA", at positions 524 to 776 of the family's 1533-position model. The record is from RNAcentral.
UACGUAGGGUGCAAGCGUUUGUCCGGAAUUAUUGGGCGUAAAGAGCUCGUAGGCGGUCUGUCACGUCGGAUGUGAAAAUCCAGGGCUUAACCCUGGACCUGCAUUCGAUACGGGCAGACUAGAGUUCGGUAGGGGAGACGUGGAAUUCCUGGUGUAGCGGUGGAAUGCGCAGAUAUCAGGAGGAACACCCGUAGCGAAGGCGGCACUCUGGGCCGGAUACUGACGCUGAGGAGCGAAAGCGUGGGGAGCAAACAGG